GAUGAAAACGUAGCGAAAUGCGAUAAGUAAUGUGAAUUGCAGAAUUCAGUGAAUCAUCGAAUCUUUGAACGCACAUUGCGCCCCUUGGUAUUCCGAGGGGCAUGCCUGUUCGAGCGUCAUUAUAACCCCUCAAGCUCAGCUUGGUGUUGGGGCCUGCUGCACUGGCAGCCCUUAAAAUCAGUGGCGGCGCCAUCUGGCUCUAAGCGUAGUAAUUCUUCUCGCUAUGGAGUCCUGGUGGAUGCUUGCCAUCAACCCCCAAUUUUUCUAUGGUUGACCUCGGAUCAGGUAGGGAUACCCGCUGAACUUAAGCAUAUCAAUAAGAGGAGGA
This 328-nucleotide unclassified non-coding RNA is filed under the name soil metagenome. RNAcentral's name for it is "partial contains 5.8S ribosomal RNA, internal transcribed spacer 2, and large subunit ribosomal RNA". The stretch from base 1 to 119 matches the Rfam family "5.8S ribosomal RNA", at positions 35 to 154 of the family's 154-position model. The record is from RNAcentral.